AAGGAAAUCAACCGAGACCCUGUCAGUAGCGGCGAGCGAACGCAGGAUAGCCUAGUAAUAAAGUGAGUGAAUCUAAUACUCUGGAAUGGGUACUACCAUAGAAGGUAAUAGUCCUGUGGAUAUUACUACUUAUUACAUCUAGCUCAUAUUUAAAUGUAUAUGAGUGAGUAGAGCGGCAUUAAACCUGCUCGAAUACGGGGGCACCAUCCUCCAAGGCUAAGUAUGAUAUGUUUAGCGAUAGUGAAGAGUACUGUGAAGGAAAGGUGAUAAGCAAGUCGAUGACUGGUGAAAUAGAGCCUGAACUAGCAAUCCUACAAGCAGACAGAGUAUUUAGUUAUGAUGUCGUACCUUUUGCAUAAUGGGUCAGCAACUUAAUAGUGUAGGCAAGAUUUAUAAGUCCAAGCGAAAGCGACUAUUUUGGUUUACUAGAAUGGGAUAAGUCUGCAUUAUUAGACCCGAAACGACGUGAUCUAGCCAUGGACAGGAUUAUAGGUCCGAACAGAUGUACGUUGCAUAGUGCUCUGAUGAUCUGUGGUUAGGAGUGAAAUGCUAAUCUAACGUCGUGAUAGCUGGUUCUCUGCGAAAUGCAUUGCAGUGCAGCGUCAAUAUAAAGCUUAUAGUAGGUACAGCACUGAUUGACAUGCCCGAUACUUCUAGCAAUAGAAUGUAAACGGCCGACUAGGGGGGUGUGAAAGCCCUAUCUAGGUCAGUUAACCUCGGAAUGAUUAUAAGUAUUCAUUGGCAGUGAGUCGUAGGGUGAUAAGGUCUUAUGACGAGAGGGAAACAGCCCAAACAAUGUGUUAAAGUCCCUAAGAUGUUGACAAGUGAAAUUAAGGAAGUGUGUGACCUGAUACAGCCAUGAUGUGGGAUUGGAAGCGUCCAUCAUUUAAAGAAAGCGUAACAGCUCAGUGGUCUAGGUCGCAUGCGCCGAAGAUAUACCGGGUCUUAAUCAACACACUAAUACCAUUGUAUAAGUCCAACUAUGCUAUUGUAAGCAGAAGUUGGAUUUAAUAAGUAGCAGAGCGUCCAGUACUUAUGAAGAGCAGUAUUUUAUUGUUUGGAGGUAACUGGAGUGAGGAUGCUGGCAUGAGUAGCAUAAAUGAAUGUUAAAUCAUUCACACCGAAAGAGAAAGGUUUCUGAGGGCAAGUUAGACUUCCUCAGGUUAUCAUUCCAUCUAGACUUCUAGAUGGUUUGGCGGUAUCUAAGGGAUUAGCCAAUGCGACAUCUCGAUGAUUAUAUUGCAAAACGGCCUAAGAAUAUUAGGUCCAGGAAAAAAUGCAAUCUAGCUACCGUACCUUAAACCGACACAGGUUCUCGGGUAGAGUAUACUAAGGUGACGGAAUAAUCAAAUUUAAGGAACUCGGCAAAAUGAUCUCGUACGUUCGACAAGAAGAGAUGCCCUCUAUAUAUUUAUAUAGCUGGGUGGCACAGAAUCGGGGGGUGCGACUGUUUACCUAAAACACAGCAGCCUGCUAACACUAACAGUGGUCGUAUAGGUUGUGAUUCCUGUCCGGUGUCUCGUGAUAUAGUGAUUAAAGUUGUAUUUUUCUAGCAAUAGGAGGUAUGACUUUGAAACUUGAAGACGAGAUAAACGACGGUCUUAACUAUAAGGAUCCUAAGGUAGCGAAAUUCCUUGGCCGCUAAUUACGGUCCUGCAUGAAAGGAACAGCGAUGCCCCCACUGUCUUAAAUUUGAGUCCGGUGAAAUUGAACUAGCCGUGCAGAUGCGGUUUACCACCAGUUAGACGGGAAGACCCUAUGCAACUUUACUAUAGUCAGAUAUUGUGUUAAUCUAACGUUUGUCACAGGCAUGAGGUAGUUUGGGUUCACUCAAACGUAAGUGAGAGACCUCAACAAAUCUUAGAUGCACUAACCUGUAUAUUUAACAGGGAAAGUGUCUGAUGGGUAGUUUUACUGGGACGG
RNAcentral lists this ribosomal RNA (1923 nucleotides) under Zea mays subsp. mexicana (Mexican teosinte). RNAcentral describes it as "bacterial LSU rRNA". It matches the Rfam family "Bacterial large subunit ribosomal RNA", at positions 216 to 2282 of the family's 2925-position model. Lineage: Eukaryota; Viridiplantae; Streptophyta; Magnoliopsida; Poales; Poaceae. The record is from RNAcentral.